This 2899-nucleotide ribosomal RNA is filed under the name Chiroteuthis calyx. Its description in RNAcentral is "bacterial LSU rRNA". It matches the Rfam family "Bacterial large subunit ribosomal RNA". The record is from RNAcentral. Lineage: Eukaryota; Metazoa; Mollusca; Cephalopoda; Oegopsida; Chiroteuthidae.
CGCAUGGUGGAUGCCUUGGCACUAGGAGCCGAUGAAGGACGUGACUAACUGCGAUAAGCUUCGGGGAGUUGUAAGUAAACUGUGAUCCGGAGAUUUCCGAAUGGGGAAACCCAACAGGAGUAAAGACCUGUUAUCACUGAGUGAAUACAUAGCUCAGUUGAAGGUAGACGUGGGGAACUGAAACAUCUAAGUACCCAUAGGAAGAGAAAGAAAAUUCGAUUCCCUGAGUAGCGGCGAGCGAAAAGGGAACAGCCCAAACCAAGAAGCUUGCUUCUUGGGGUUGUAGGACUGGACAUUUGAGUUACCAAGAAACGAAGUAGUUGAAUGAUUUGGGAAGAUCAGCCAGAGAAGGUGAUAGCCCUGUAAGCGAAACUUCGUUUCCUCAGCCCAGUAUCCUGAGUACGGCGGAACACGUGAAACUCCGUCGGAAUCCGGGAGGACCAUCUCCCAAGGCUAAAUACUCCCUAGUGACCGAUAGUGAACCAGUACCGUGAGGGAAAGGUGAAAAGCACCCCGGGAGGGGAGUGAAAUAGUUCCUGAAACCAUGUGCCUACAAGUAGUCAGAGCCCGUUAAUGGGUGAUGGCGUGCCUUUUGUAGAAUGAACCGGCGAGUUACGUUAGCGUGCGAGGUUAAGGCGCAAAGGCCGGAGCCGUAGCGAAAGCGAGUCUGAAUAGGGCGAAUGAGUACGUUGACGUAGACCCGAAACCAGGUGACCUACCCAUGUCCAGGUUGAAGGUGCGGUAAGACGCACUGGAGGACCGAACCCGUGUAUGUUAAAAAAUGCUGGGAUGAGGUGUGGGUAGAGGUGAAAUUCCAAACGAACUUGGAGAUAGCUGGUUCUCUCCGAAAUAGCUUUAGGGCUAGCCUCGGAGUUAAGGAUCGUGGAGGUAGAGCACUGUUUGGACUAGGGGCCCGUCUUGGGUUACUGAAUUCAGAUAAACUCCGAAUGCCACAGAUCUAUAUCCGGGAGUCAGACUGCGAGUGAUAAGAUCCGUAGUCGAAAGGGAAACAGCCCAGACCACCGAUUAAGGUCCCUAAAUAUGUGUUAAGUGGAAAAGGAUGUGGAAUUGCACAGACAACUAGGAUGUUGGCUUAGAAGCAGCCACCAUUUAAAGAGUGCGUAAUAGCUCACUAGUCGAGUGAUCCUGCGCCGAAAAUGUAACGGGGCUAAACACAUUACCGAAAUCGUGGAUGCAACUAUGUUGCAUGGUAGGAGAGCGUUCUAAGGGCGAUGAAGCUAGACCGUAAGGACUGGUGGAGCGCUUAGAAGUGAGAAUGCCGGUAUGAGUAGCGAAAGAUCAGUGAGAAUCUGGUCCACCGUAUGACUAAGGUUUCCUGGGGAAGGCUCGUCCUCCCAGGGUUAGUCGGGACCUAAGCCGAGGCCGAGAGGCGUAGGCGAUGGAUAACAGGUUGAGAUUCCUGUACUGGUUUGAUUUGUUUGAACGAUGGAGGGACGCAGGAGGCUAGAGAUGCGUGCUGUUGGAUAUGCACGUCCAAGCAACAAGUCUGAUGAUGAGUCAAAUGCUUAUCGUCUUAAGGACAAGUUGUGACGGGGAGCGAAAUUAAAGUAGCGAAGUGAUCGAUGUCACACUGCCGAGAAAAGCUUCUAGUUAGAAUCAGACCACCCGUACCGCAAACCGACACAGGUAGUCGAGGCGAGUAGCCUAAGGUGAGCGAGAGAACUCUCGUUAAGGAACUCGGCAAAAUGACCCCGUAACUUCGGGAGAAGGGGUGCUGCACAAUGUGCAGCCGCAGUGAAUAGGCCCAGGCGACUGUUUAUCAAAAACACAGGUUUCUGCAAAAUCGUAAGAUGAAGUAUAGGGGCUGACGCCUGCCCGGUGCUGGAAGGUUAAGAGGAUGGGUUAGCGUAAGCGAAGCUCAGAAUUGAAGCCCCAGUAAACGGCGGCCGUAACAAUAACGGUCCUAAGGUAGCGAAAUUCCUUGUCAGGUAAGUUCUGACCCGCACGAAUGGCGUAAUGACUUGGGCACUGUCUCAACUGUAAAUCCGGCGAAGUUGUAGUGCGAGUGAAGAUGCUCGCUACCCGCGAUUGGACGGAAAGACCCCGUAGAGCUUUACUGUAGCUUAGCAUUGAGUUUUGGUAUUGUCUGUACAGGAUAGGUGGGAGACUAGGAAACCAGGGCGUCAGCCUUGGUGGAGUCAACCUUGGGAUACCACCCUGACAGUACUGAAAUUCUAACUGGCGGCCAUGAAUCUGGUCACAGGACAUUGUUAGGUGGGCAGUUUGACUGGGGCGGUCGCCUCCUAAAAGGUAACGGAGGCGCCCAAAGGUUCCCUCAGCGCGGCCGGAAAUCGCGCGAAGAGUGUAAAGGCAGAAGGGAGCUUGACUGAGAGCCAAACACGGCAAUCAGGUACGAAAGUAGGGCUUAGUGAUCCGGUGGCAUCCAAGUGGAAGGGCCAUCGCUCAACGGAUAAAAGCUACCCUGGGGAUAACAGGCUUAUCUCCCCCAAGAGUCCACAUCGACGGGGAGGUUUGGCACCUCGAUGUCGGCUCAUCGCAUCCUGGGGCUGUAGUCGGUCCCAAGGGUUGGGCUGUUCGCCCAUUAAAGCGGCACGCGAGCUGGGUUCAGAACGUCGUGAGACAGUUUGGUCUCUAUCCUCUGCGCUCGUUGGAAUGCUGAGGAGGCCUGCCCAUAGUACGAGAGGACCUGGGUGGACGAACCUCUGGUAUGCCGGUUGUCACGCCAGUGGCACGGCCGGUUGGCUACGUUCGGAAGGGAUAACCGCUGAAAGCAUCUAAGCGGGAAGCCUGCUCCAAGAUAAGCAUUCCGUGCAGCCUCGAGCUGCUGUAGUCCCCAUGCAGAACACGUGGUCGAUAGGCCGGACGUGGAAGCCCCGCGAGGGGUGGAGCCGACCGGUACUAACGGACGAAAGGCAAC